RNAcentral lists this ribosomal RNA (579 nucleotides) under Bacillus thuringiensis. Its description in RNAcentral is "bacterial SSU rRNA". It matches the Rfam family "Bacterial small subunit ribosomal RNA", at positions 762 to 1341 of the family's 1533-position model. Lineage: Bacteria; Bacillati; Bacillota; Bacilli; Caryophanales; Bacillaceae. The record is from RNAcentral.
UGGGGAGCAAACAGGAUUAGAUACCCUGGUAGUCCACGCCGUAAACGAUGAGUGCUAAGUGUUGGAGGGUUUACUCCCUUCAGUGCUGAAGUUAACGCAUUAAGCACUCCGCCUGGGGAGUACGGUCGCAAGACUGAAACUCAAAGGAAUUGACGGGGGCCCGCACAAGCGGUGGAGCAUGUGGUUUAAUUCGAAGCAACGCGAAGAACCUUACCAGGUCUUGACAUCCUGUGACAACCUUAGAGAUAAGACUUUUCCUUCGGGACCAGAGUGACAGGUGGUGCAUGGCAGUCGUCAGCUCGUGUCGUGAGAUGUUGGGUUAAGUCCCGCAACGAGCGCAACCCUUAUUUUUAGUUUCCAUCAUUCAGUUGGGCACUCUAAGGAGACUGCCGGUGACAAACCGGAGGAAGGUGGGGAUGACGUCAAAUCAUCAUGCCCCUUAUGACCUGGGCUACACACGUCAUACAAUGGUUGGUACAAAGGGAUGCUAACUCGCGAGGGGGAGCCAAUCUCGGAAAACCAAUCUCAGUUCGGAUUGUAGUCUGCAACUCGCCUACAUGAAGUCGGAAUCGCUAGUAA